Molecule: ribosomal RNA, 441 nt
Filed under: uncultured bacterium
Lineage: Bacteria
Description: bacterial SSU rRNA
Rfam family: Bacterial small subunit ribosomal RNA
Source: RNAcentral
GUGGGGAAUAUUGCGCAAUGGCCGAAAGGCUGACGCAGCGACGCCGCGUGGGGGAGGAAGGUCUUCGGAUUGUAAACCCCUGUUGCCCGGGACGAAUCCUGGUUUCGACCAGAUUGACGGUACCGGGUGAGGAAGCACCGGCUAACUCUGUGCCAGCAGCCGCGGUAAUACAGAGGGUGCGAGCGUUGUCCGGAAUCACUGGGCGUAAAGGGCGCGUAGGUGGCUUGCCAAGCGUGUGGUGAAAGCCCGGAGCUCAACUCCGGGUCGGCCAUGCGAACUGGCAGGCUAGAGCACGGUAGAGGCCAAUGGAAUUCCGGGUGUAGCGGUGGAAUGCGUAGAGAUCCGGAAGAACACCGGUGGCGAAGGCGGUUGGCUGGGCCGUUGCUGACACUGAGGCGCGACAGCGUGGGGAGCAAACAGGAUUAGAAACCCCAGUAGUCC